GGCCCAAUCAGCUGCUGCGUCUCAAGAGUUCAGACUUGAAGGCCUGAGCUAGUGUGCUGUGAUGAGCUACACGGACAGGUCUUGCUAGUUGCAGGACUUGGACUUACUUUGGGUGUGGCCACAGGAGUCUUGUGAGAGAAGCGAAUAUUUGCAUGGGAGCCUUGCAUUGACACUGUGUGCUUUGGAUUUCAGGGAGCAGGCUGAUGCCUCUUGGGGCAUAAUACAAAGUCUUGGAACUGUGAAUUAUCCACAAAGAAAAGAAAAGCAAAAACUCCAGCUUCCAGGUGCGGGUGAGCUGGUAGACUGUCUGCACACCUUUGCAGUGUGGAGAACAUUCCGGAAGGAAAGGAGCCAAGACAGGAGUUGAUGUUUAGUUAGGAGGCUGGAGCGGUGCUUCUGGGGACCCUAAGGUCUGAAGGAAGAUGGUGCUGGUGGUGACAGGAGGGGUCAGUAGAACCUGGAGCUGUCUCUGGACUAGAAAUGGCAGGAUGUUGAGAUGCUGGAUGAAGCAAGGAAGGAGGAUGAUGCUCAGGUCAUGAAGAACUCCAGGGAAUGAGAACCUUAUUGGAUUGGAUCCAUGAUUGAACAAGUUUUUAACAUCAACCUGGGGAAUGAUCGAUCGAUUGCUAAACUUUGAAAAAAAAUUUUUUUUUUUGGUGCAUGUAUGCCAUAGAAGAAGCCCUCAUUAUCUUAGCAUAAAAAACCAAUACAAUGGAAUCCACUUCUAAUUUUCAUGUUAGUUAAAUUAAAAAAAAUUAUUGGGGUUAGUAGAUUUACAGUGUAGUAUUAGUUUCAGGUGUACAGCAAAAUUAAUGUGUUAUAUCUACUCUUAUUUAUAUUCUUUUCACACAUAAGCCUCAUAUUAAU
This is a long non-coding RNA of Bos taurus (domestic cattle), 867 nucleotides long. NCBI's taxonomy places the organism in Eukaryota, Metazoa, Chordata, Mammalia, Artiodactyla, Bovidae. The record is from Ensembl.